This 274-nucleotide ribosomal RNA is filed under the name uncultured bacterium. Its description in RNAcentral is "partial 16S ribosomal RNA". It matches the Rfam family "Bacterial small subunit ribosomal RNA", at positions 523 to 796 of the family's 1533-position model. The record is from RNAcentral.
AUACGGAGGGUGCAAGCGUUACUCGGAAUCACUGGGCGUAAAGCGCGCGCAGGCGGUCUUUUAAGUUGGAUGUGAAAGCCUACAGCUCAACUGUAGAACUGCAUCCAAAACUAUUAGACUAGAGUCUGGGAGGGGAAGAUGGAAUUAGUUGUGUAGGGGUAAAAUCCGUAGAGAUAACUAGGAGUACCAAAAGCGAAGGCGAUCUUCUGGAACAGUACUGACGCUGAGGCGCGAAAGCGUGGGGAGCAAACAGGAUUAGAAACCCGAGUAGUCC